This is a long non-coding RNA of Scaptodrosophila lebanonensis, 309 nucleotides long. RefSeq lists it as uncharacterized. The record is from RefSeq and is a predicted model, not a curated record. The transcript is spliced from 3 exons. Lineage: Eukaryota; Metazoa; Arthropoda; Insecta; Diptera; Drosophilidae.
AACUGUGGGCGGAGUAUUUUAUCGUUGAUGGUUGCGAAAAUUAAAAAAAUAUUUGGGCAUGCAUAUACAGGUACUGGAUAUUGGGUACUGGCUGUGCAUUGGACUGCAAGUGUUCGUCUUCUGUUUGUUUGUAUAUUUAUGCAUCUCUGCGGGAACUAUCAUCACCUUUAUUUGAAUUAUCUAGGAUAAAUUCAAAGACAACUUCCACCGGAGAUCAACGAGAGAUAUACACGUGACGCGUUUUGACAUAUUUGAUAUGAUUUUCUUGAUCGGAAUGUGUUGUUUUAGGACUCACAACUAUCGCCGUUU